Molecule: long non-coding RNA, 783 nt
Organism: Orbicella faveolata
Lineage: Eukaryota; Metazoa; Cnidaria; Anthozoa; Scleractinia; Merulinidae
Source: RefSeq, a predicted model, not a curated record
CAAAGAGGUCCGGCCACCGAGCGCGCUACAUCAGAAUGUUAACAUUCUGAGUGCAUUAGUGGUGAACAUGUAUAAUGCACUCAUACAUAUAAGUAUCGCUUUUCCAAUUCUUUUGAUUAGUACCUUUAUUAAUAUCUCACUUUCACUUUUUAUAGUUCAUUUAUAACGGAGGUGCAAACCAAGGAGUCGUUUGUAAAUACCUGAAACCACAAAAAUCAGUGAUUAGUUCAAGCGAAGUUGAGUGGAUCAUUGAUGAGAAGACAGGAUGGUCAGCGUGCUCUGAGGAUUGCGCUGGAGGAAAGAAAACGCGACUGAUAAAGUGUAAACGAAAGGAUGAUCAAUCAAUAGUUGCAGACAGGAUUUGUGAAAAAGGAUCCAAGAAACCUCAAUAUGAGAUGCCUUGUAAUAUCCAUCCCUGUACAGCAGAAUGGCACCUGUCUGGAUGGAGCUCUUGUUCAAAGACAUGCGGACGUGGUGUAAUGACGCGCAAACUGUCCUGCAGAACGAAAGUCAGUCAAAACCCAGAAGAAUAUAAAACCGUGAAGGAUAUCAGCUGCAAGGGACCAAAGCCAAAGGUGCUCCAGAGAGCUUGCUAUAAAGUAGCCUGCCCCGCUGAAUGGGUUCCUUCUCCCUGGGGAAAGGUAAAGAAGAAUUUGGCGUAACAUUUUACAUCAACUGCUUUAAGUGGUGUUAUACCUAUGAUUAUUCAUAUAUGAAAACAUAUAUAACAAGUUAUAUUGCUUCAAGAUUCACACUGUUCGAACAACAAUAGGUCAUCGAAUU